RNAcentral lists this long non-coding RNA (235 nucleotides) under Elaeis guineensis (African oil palm). Its description in RNAcentral is "long non-coding RNA (EGUI_LNC012748)". The record is from RNAcentral. Lineage: Eukaryota; Viridiplantae; Streptophyta; Magnoliopsida; Arecales; Arecaceae.
GUACUAAAAUUACAUGAUAAACUGUAGCAAGCCAACAGGAGACGAUUAUAAUUCAAAAGCAUACCUGAGACUCCUGAAUUUCUUGUUUCUAUAGUUCGGCAGCAGGUAGAAAGCAGCAAUAUAUAUAGACAGAUAUAAGACGGGAUCCCGAUGGGAUUAGAAUUCGUGGCUGGUUAGACGUUCUCUCUUUAGAAAUAUCCGAGUCAUAGCUCGAAUGGGAAUGUCGCAUCAAGGA